GACGAACGCUGGCGGCGUGCCUAAUACAUGCAAGUUGAGCGCUGAAGGCUGGUACUUGUACCAACUGGAUGAGCAGCGAACGGGUGAGUCCCGCGUGGGGAAUCUGCCUUUGAGCGGGGGACAACAUUUGGAAACGAAUGCUAAUACCGCAUAAAAACUUUAAACACAAGUUUUAAGUUUUAAAUAUGCUAUUGCAUCACUCAAAGAUCAUCCAGAGUUGUAUUAGCUAGUUGGUGAGGUAAAGGCUCUUCAAGGCGAGGAUACAUAGCCGACCUGAGAGGGUGAGAGGCAAAGUUGGGACUGGAACAUGGCCCAAACUCCUGCGGGAGGCAGCAGUAGGGAAUUUUCGGGGAUAGAAGAAAGGCUGAACGAGCAACGCCGCGUGAGUGAAGAAGGGUUUCGGAUCGUAAAACUCUGUUGGUAGAGAAGAACGUAGAGGAGAGUGGAAAGCGCAGCUAGUGACGGUAACUAUCCAGAAAGGGACGGCUAACUACGUG
Molecule: ribosomal RNA, 497 nt
Filed under: uncultured bacterium
Lineage: Bacteria
Description: partial 16S ribosomal RNA
Rfam family: Bacterial small subunit ribosomal RNA
Source: RNAcentral